Molecule: ribosomal RNA, 2901 nt
Filed under: Klebsiella pneumoniae
Lineage: Bacteria; Pseudomonadati; Pseudomonadota; Gammaproteobacteria; Enterobacterales; Enterobacteriaceae
Description: 23S ribosomal RNA
Rfam family: Bacterial large subunit ribosomal RNA
Source: RNAcentral
GGUUAAGCGACUAAGCGUACACGGUGGAUGCCCUGGCAGUCAGAGGCGAUGAAGGACGUGCUAAUCUGCGAAAAGCGUCGGUAAGGUGAUAUGAACCGUUAUAACCGGCGAUGUCCGAAUGGGGAAACCCAGUGCAAUUCGUUGCACUAUCGUUAACUGAAUACAUAGGUUAACGAGGCGAACCGGGGGAACUGAAACAUCUAAGUACCCCGAGGAAAAGAAAUCAACCGAGAUUCCCCCAGUAGCGGCGAGCGAACGGGGAGCAGCCCAGAGUCUGAAUCAGCUUGUGUGUUAGUGGAACGGUCUGGAAAGUCCGACGGUACAGGGUGAUAGUCCCGUACACCAAAAUGCACAGGUUGUGAACUCGAAGAGUAGGGCGGGACACGUGGUAUCCUGUCUGAAUAUGGGGGGACCAUCCUCCAAGGCUAAAUACUCCUGACUGACCGAUAGUGAACCAGUACCGUGAGGGAAAGGCGAAAAGAACCCCGGCGAGGGGAGUGAAAAAGAACCUGAAACCGUGUACGUACAAGCAGUGGGAGCACCUUCGGGUGUGACUGCGUACCUUUUGUAUAAUGGGUCAGCGACUUAUAUUCUGUAGCAAGGUUAACCGUAUAGGGGAGCCGCAGGGAAACCGAGUCUUAACUGGGCGUUAAGUUGCAGGGUAUAGACCCGAAACCCGGUGAUCUAGCCAUGGGCAGGUUGAAGGUUGGGUAACACUAACUGGAGGACCGAACCGACUAAUGUUGAAAAAUUAGCGGAUGACUUGUGGCUGGGGGUGAAAGGCCAAUCAAACCGGGAGAUAGCUGGUUCUCCCCGAAAGCUAUUUAGGUAGCGCCUCGUGAACUCAUCUUCGGGGGUAGAGCACUGUUUCGGCUAGGGGGUCAUCCCGACUUACCAACCCGAUGCAAACUACGAAUACCGAAGAAUGUUAUCACGGGAGACACACGGCGGGUGCUAACGUCCGUCGUGAAGAGGGAAACAACCCAGACCGCCAGCUAAGGUCCCAAAGUCAUGGUUAAGUGGGAAACGAUGUGGGAAGGCACAGACAGCCAGGAUGUUGGCUUAGAAGCAGCCAUCAUUAAAGAAAGCGUAAUAGCUCACUGGUCGAGUCGGCCUGCGCGGAAGAUGUAACGGGGCUAAACCAUGCACCGAAGCUGCGGCAGCGACACUAUGUGUUGUUGGGUAGGGGAGCGUUCUGUAAGCCUGCGAAGGUGUGCUGUGAGGCAUGCUGGAGGUAUCAGAAGUGCGAAUGCUGACAUAAGUAACGAUAAAGCGGGUGAAAAGCCCGCUCGCCGGAAGACCAAGGGUUCCUGUCCAACGUUAAUCGGGGCAGGGUGAGUCGACCCCUAAGGCGAGGCCGAAAGGCGUAGUCGAUGGGAAACAGGUUAAUAUUCCUGUACUUGGUGUUACUGCGAAGGGGGGACGGAGAAGGCUAUGUUAGCCGGGCGACGGUUGUCCCGGUUUAAGCAUGUAGGCUGGUUAUCCAGGCAAAUCCGGAUAAUCAAGGCUGAGGUGUGAUGACGAGGCACUACGGUGCUGAAGUAACAAAUGCCCUGCUUCCAGGAAAAGCCUCUAAGCAUCAGGUAACAUCAAAUCGUACCCCAAACCGACACAGGUGGUCAGGUAGAGAAUACCAAGGCGCUUGAGAGAACUCGGGUGAAGGAACUAGGCAAAAUGGUGCCGUAACUUCGGGAGAAGGCACGCUGGUGUGUAGGUGAAGUCCCUGCGGAUGGAGCUGAGACCAGUCGAAGAUACCAGCUGGCUGCAACUGUUUAUUAAAAACACAGCACUGUGCAAACACGAAAGUGGACGUAUACGGUGUGACGCCUGCCCGGUGCCGGAAGGUUAAUUGAUGGGGUUAUCCGUAAGGAGAAGCUCUUGAUCGAAGCCCCGGUAAACGGCGGCCGUAACUAUAACGGUCCUAAGGUAGCGAAAUUCCUUGUCGGGUAAGUUCCGACCUGCACGAAUGGCGUAAUGAUGGCCAGGCUGUCUCCACCCGAGACUCAGUGAAAUUGAACUCGCUGUGAAGAUGCAGUGUACCCGCGGCAAGACGGAAAGACCCCGUGAACCUUUACUAUAGCUUGACACUGAACAUUGAGCCUUGAUGUGUAGGAUAGGUGGGAGGCUUUGAAGCGUGGACGCCAGUCUGCGUGGAGCCAACCUUGAAAUACCACCCUUUAAUGUUUGAUGUUCUAACGUUGGCCCCUGACCGGGGUUGCGGACAGUGUCUGGUGGGUAGUUUGACUGGGGCGGUCUCCUCCCAAAGCGUAACGGAGGAGCACGAAGGUUAGCUAAUCCUGGUCGGACAUCAGGAGGUUAGUGCAAUGGCAUAAGCUAGCUUGACUGCGAGCGUGACGGCGCGAGCAGGUGCGAAAGCAGGUCAUAGUGAUCCGGUGGUUCUGAAUGGAAGGGCCAUCGCUCAACGGAUAAAAGGUACUCCGGGGAUAACAGGCUGAUACCGCCCAAGAGUUCAUAUCGACGGCGGUGUUUGGCACCUCGAUGUCGGCUCAUCACAUCCUGGGGCUGAAGUAGGUCCCAAGGGUAUGGCUGUUCGCCAUUUAAAGUGGUACGCGAGCUGGGUUUAGAACGUCGUGAGACAGUUCGGUCCCUAUCUGCCGUGGGCGCUGGAGAAUUGAGGGGGGCUGCUCCUAGUACGAGAGGACCGGAGUGGACGCAUCACUGGUGUUCGGGUUGUCAUGCCAAUGGCACUGCCCGGUAGCUAAAUGCGGAAGAGAUAAGUGCUGAAAGCAUCUAAGCACGAAACUUGCCCCGAGAUGAGUUCUCCCUGAGACUAUAAGUCUCCUGAAGGAACGUUAAAGACGAUGACGUUGAUAGGCCGGGUGUGUAAGCGCAGCGAUGCGUUGAGCUAACCGGUACUAAUGAACCGUGAGGCUUAACCUU